CUCCCAACAUGAUGCCUUACCAGGUGAACAGUUCCCCUCUGCCCGCCGCGAAGGCAGUGACGUCAGAGCGGAGCAGGAUGAGCGGCCGGCAGCGCGGCGGUCCUGAUGCUGCGGGACAUGCGGCGCUCAGGCAAAACAACUACACGAGGACCAAACUUCCGGUGAUACAGCCGCUGAGCAGGUCCAGGGAUGGGGGGUCCUUGAUCGGCGGCUUCAUAUUCGCAGGGUCACCUGAAUUGGCUAAAGAUGCAAAGCUGGAAUCAGAGAACACCGACCCAGGGGACAUCUGUGGCAGACACUUCCUCUUUGAUAAGAAAUGUGCGAGGUUUGAGCGGACCAGGACUGUGUUUCCUCCUCUGCAGAGAGACUACCGUGUGCACAGACCUGGCACCCUGUGUCCCUUAAGCUUCGCCAAGGAGCUUUCCCACAGCCAUGCAGCGCAGCAGCCCUUCAUCCUGGGUUACCCUGAGCGAUAUGAACUGAACCCAGGUCAAGCCCCCCCGUUCCUCUCCACUUUAUACCUCAAGGGCAGAAACCCUGUCUCGGUUGAAAGCUGCAAACUCAGCAGGCCUAAGGCGCAUCAUCCAAACUACCACCUGUCGACUGUUAAAGACAGUCAGAAGAGCCAGUCCUAUCCCGACCCGGUGGUCGGAGCCUCUCGCUCUUUUAUCCACAAGGUAUCGAAGCUGUCCUCUCUGGAGGCUGAGACGGUGAGACAAGAGAAGCUCAAGAAAACAAGGAAACCUCCAUCCUGACAAUCACCUGCUCCCCAGUCGCACUGGUCGAGGAUCAAAACCAUUGAGUCUGUGCCAACGACCUCUGAGCAGGAUCAAACGUUCAGGGCGCCGUGUUCGUUUCAGUGGCUCCUUCUCACGGCUUGUUUAUCCUCAGUGACAUUAGUUUUCUGCCUCACAUGGCUCGUCUUCACAUUUUGGGAUUCCUGACCAAGAGCGUCUCUCUUUUGGUGACCACAUAUAGUAUUAUAUAUAUACAUAUACACAGUAUAGUAUAUAGUAUACCUUGCAGCAAAUGCCCUACAAUAAACGGGGAUAAUAAAUCCAAAUAAUUUUUUCCAUUUUGAUUCCCAGCUCUGUGUAGCUCACCACUCAACACCUGCACAGUUAUCUGACCUUUUUAAUGGCUGUUGUGUAAUAUGACCAUAUUUCUUGCCGUAUCAUCAGUAUGUAGCAGAUACCGUCUGGCUUUGAUUUUACUACAACAGUGUUUCGAAGAUUACUGUUAAAUACCAAUUAGGAUUUGUUAAGCAAGUGGGACAUUGAUGUAUGAAAUAGUUUAGAAGAACUAUUACUGUGCCUUGUAAAACGUCUUCCUGCAAUAAAAAAAAAAGUAUUUUUAGUAGCACAAGAACGUCUUCUCUAAUUUGAAUCGUUAUAUUUGUUUUGCGGCUUCUAUUGAACGAAAGCUGACGAAGGGAGCUUCAUGUUCCCUUUGGCGCAUACGCUACAUUGCGACUCAUACAGUCAGCAAAAUGUCUAAAAGCUGCAAUGAAACAUAAUCUGCAUUCCAUAUCUCCCAAACAGACACAAAGCUGUGCCCCCACAUCCCAGAAUGUGGUGCUUUCCCACAUGGCACGUUGUUGUGUUGGCGUAUAGAAGGCAGAUGCCAGUCAGACCAGUUGUCGUUUUGUUUAUUCACUAUUAUUUGAAGAUGUUACAACAAGCUAUACAGCCACAGACUCUGCCUGAAGCAGGGGGGGCAUGCUGUCUAUAAAUAUUAAAAAGCAGAAAAUGAAAAAAAGGAAUAAUUCAAUAUGUCCAAAAUGAAGUUGUUGCAGCUGUCCCACAUGUCUCUGCUGUGUGUCAUCUCUCCAUCACAGUCACUUUCAGUUUUGUGCAGUAUUUAUCAGAAUGUCACGUGGAAACCGUCUAGAUGGCCACGUCUGUGUCAUCUGAAGGAUGACAGCAAUCCUGCAGUCUGAAGUGACUCAGCGCGGAGGCCAACAGGCCUCAAAGUGACAGAUCAUGACUUUCCGAUGAAGUGAAAAGCGUUCAAGUGAGAGAGCAAGGUAUUUGUUUUGUUAUUUUUUAUGACAUUAAAUAAAGUGGAGACAGAUGAUCAAAAAACAGUGGCAACACACUGAGCUCCCUGUUAAAUACGAAUGUGACGACGUGGGAUGACGGGCAGUGUUUCUGUUUCCCUCUGGAUCGUAAGGUGUGCACUUCAGGGACACAGUGACCUAGAAACAUGGAGCCAAGUGAAGGGGGUGCGUUCAUGCCCAAAUGGAGGCCCGGCCUCUUGUCGGGUUUUUACCGUCCUUUUCAAGUGUACUGACACAAAAUGACCUCGAACAAACCGUCAACAAUGAGGUCUUUAAUAAGAGCCGUACUGGGGCCUGCCACCAAGUGGUUUGUCCUUUCACUGCGAGUCGACGUGACUGUUAACCAGGACACCACUGUACCAUUCAACCAAUUUCUACAGAUCAUAGAGACGUCGAUGCAAAAAUGCAAACUUAUUUUAUCGUUAAUUAAAAGUUCUAACAGCUUCAGGUGCAUUUCCAAAUCUUGGUUACGGUUGUUUUGCUGCCAAUAUCCGGUUGUAUUGUAUUAACAAUCAGGAGACGAAAGAGUAUUCGCUUUUGUGAAGAAUAGCUAGGUUG
Molecule: long non-coding RNA, 2617 nt
Organism: Scophthalmus maximus (turbot)
Lineage: Eukaryota; Metazoa; Chordata; Actinopteri; Pleuronectiformes; Scophthalmidae
Source: Ensembl